CAAUAACGUAUAUUAAAGUUGUUGCGGUUAAAAGCUCGUAGUUGGAUUUCUGUCGAAAGUGCUUGGUCCCCACUAUGUGGGCGUAUCUAAGUCGCUUUUGGCAUCCUCCUAUUUUUCGUUGACUGCACUUCAUUGGGUGGUUUUCGGAGUAGGACUUUUACUUUGAGGAAAUUCGAGUGUUUACGGCAGGCAAUCGCCUUGUAGAUAUUAGCAUGGAAUAAUGGAAAAGGACUUCAACCUCUUCUGUUGGUCUGAGAGGCUGUAGUAAUGAUUAAUAGGGAUAGUUGGGGGCAUUAGUACUUAACUGUCAGAGGUGAAAUUCUCCGAUUUGUUAAAGACUAACUUAUGCGAAAGCAUUUGCCAAGGAUGUUUUCAUUAAUCAAGAACGAAAGUUAGGGGAUCAAAGACGAUCAGAUACCAU
RNAcentral lists this ribosomal RNA (421 nucleotides) under uncultured eukaryote. RNAcentral's name for it is "bacterial SSU rRNA". It matches the Rfam family "Eukaryotic small subunit ribosomal RNA", at positions 592 to 1018 of the family's 1831-position model. The record is from RNAcentral.